This 496-nucleotide ribosomal RNA is filed under the name uncultured bacterium. Its description in RNAcentral is "partial 16S ribosomal RNA". It matches the Rfam family "Bacterial small subunit ribosomal RNA", at positions 29 to 507 of the family's 1533-position model. The record is from RNAcentral.
AUGAACGCUGGCGGCGUGCCUAAUACAUGCAAGUCGAGCGAACGGACGAGAAGCUUGCUUUUCUGAUGUUAGCGGCGGACGGGUGAGUAACACGUGGAAAACCUACCUAUAAGACUGGGAUAACUUCGGGAAACCGGAGCUAAUACCGGAUAAUAUUUUGAACCGCAUGGUUCAAAAGUGAAAGACGGUCUUGCUGUCACUUAUAGAUGGAUCCGCGCUGCAUUAGCUAGUUGGUAAGGUAACGGCUUACCAAGGCAACGAUGCAUAGCCGACCUGAGAGGGUGAUCGGCCACACUAGAGCUGAGACGCGGUCCAGACUCCUACGGGAGGCAGCAGUAGGCAAUCUUCCGCAGUAGGCGGAAGCCUGACGGAGCAGCGCCACGUGAGUGGUAGAAAUCUUCGGAUCGUGAAACUCUGUUAUUGGGGGUAAACAUAUGUGUAAGUAACUGUGCACAUCUUGACGGUACCUAGUCAGAAAGCCACGGCUAACUACGUG